UACGUAGGAUGCAAGCGUUGUUCGGAAUUACUGGGCGUAAAGAGUACGUAGGCGGUGACGUAAGUCUGAUAUUAAAGACCGAGGCUUAACUUCGGGAAUGUAUCGGAAACUGCGUUGCUAGAGGCAGAUAGAGGAUGCCGGAAUUCCCAGUGUAGCGGUGAAAUGCGUAGAUAUUGGGAAGAACACCGGAGGCGAAAGCGGGCAUCUGGGUCUGUACUGACGCUGAGGUACGAAAGCGUGGGGAGCAAACAGG
This 253-nucleotide ribosomal RNA is filed under the name uncultured bacterium. RNAcentral describes it as "partial 16S ribosomal RNA". It matches the Rfam family "Bacterial small subunit ribosomal RNA", at positions 524 to 776 of the family's 1533-position model. The record is from RNAcentral.